RNAcentral lists this ribosomal RNA (323 nucleotides) under uncultured bacterium. Its description in RNAcentral is "bacterial SSU rRNA". It matches the Rfam family "Bacterial small subunit ribosomal RNA", at positions 28 to 334 of the family's 1533-position model. The record is from RNAcentral.
GAUGAACGCUGGCGGCGUGCUUAACACAUGCAAGUCGAGCGAAGCGGUUUAAGUGAAGUUUUCGGAUGGAUCUUGGAUUGACUGAGCGGGCGACGGGUGAGUACGCGUGGAUAACCUGCCUCACACAGGGGGAUAACAGUUAGAAAUGACUGCUAAUACCGCAUAAGCGCACAGUACCGCAUGGUACAGUGUGAAAAACUCUGGUGGUGUGAGAUGGAUCCGCGUCUGAUUAGGUAGUUGGUGGGGUAACGGCCCACCAAGCCGACGAUCAGUAGCCGACCUGAGAGGGUGACCGGCCACAUUGGGACUGAGACACGGCCCAA